Acinonyx jubatus (cheetah) is the source of this 1695-nucleotide long non-coding RNA. RefSeq lists it as uncharacterized. Lineage: Eukaryota; Metazoa; Chordata; Mammalia; Carnivora; Felidae. The record is from RefSeq and is a predicted model, not a curated record. The transcript is spliced from 2 exons.
UUUUGCAUAUGCAUAAGCCUGUCGGCCAAUGGCGUCGCUGUGCUGGCUGCCGGAGAAGCUGGGCGGUUGGGCAGCGGACACGUGGUGCGCCUGCGCACAGCGCUGCCCCACGUCGGGGCGGGCUCCGUUUUGCCCGGCCAGGUGCAGAGCCGGAGAGCCACCGGAGUCCCCUGAUCCUAGGUCCCGAGUUUGGGGUCCGGGGCGGGCGGGAAGGCGGGAGCGCGAGCGGGACAGCGGCUACCUAGUGCCCGGUUUGCAGGGCAGGGUUAAGGAGUACUGAGGCCGUGCAGUUUGACAGAAGACCUUUUUUGAAUCUUGCGAUCUGAAUUGAUUCCAGUGGAUUAAAAGGCAUCCCAAGGGAGAGACCUUGGGGACCAAGGAAGAAGCCUAGAGGUUCAUUACCAAGAAUCCCCCCUGGCCUGACUCCCGGGUGACGUCUCGUGCGGAAUAUGUUACAGGUUCCCGGUGUCAAAGCGACUGGAGGGGUCCCUCAAACAAAAUCACUAUGAUCACCGGGCAGCUGAAAAGGCCCCCCGUUUCCCGACGCAUGCUAGACUGCAAAAUGGGUGUCUGCACAUGGACCAAAACGCUGCGCUGCGCCUUGCCAUGAAGGCCGUGCCAUUUUUCACCCAUGGCAAACACCAGAAGAGCUUUAUAAGGGGAAAUUAUCCAAUUUUGUAAUUUUAGUAGUCAGUAGGGGACACUGAUGAAAAAAUAGUAAAGAGCGAAAUCCAUCACAGUGUAAGCAACAUUCCAGCAUAUGUAGACUUUUACAGCUAACUUCUCUAGGAAGCCAACCCCAGUGGGGCUUUGAUUCACUCGAGUGCUGGUUUCGGCCCACCCUGAGCCUAAGUCUUGCAGCCAGAAGCGGCUAGACCAGGGAUGUGGAGGGGAUCACAUUAGACCAAUGAGGAGGAAACUUCACGUGAGAGUCUUUAAGAUUAGCAGCCAUCCUGGGGACUUAGGUGGCUGUCCUAACUCCCAAAAGACAACUCUAUAUAAGAAUAGGAAUAAAGAGGGGCACCUGGGUGGGUCAGUUGGUUAAGCGUCUGACCCUUGGUUUUGGCCAAGGUCAUGAUCUCACAGCUUGUGAGUUUGAACCCCGAUUUCUCUCUCCCUCUCUACCCCUCCUGUCUCUCUCUUGCUCUCUUUCUCUUUCUCUCUCACAAGAUAAACAUUAAAAAUUAAAAAAAAAAAAAAAAAAGAAUAGGAAUAAAGAGAGGGCAUCGAGUUUCUGGGUCUUAUCACCAUUCCGGCCAGGGGACUAACUUCCAGCUUCCUCCUCCCUGUAGAGCAGCCAUUGGCUAGAGGAUUGCAGCCUGAGCAAUUGACACGAAAGUGUCCCAAUAAGAAGGAGUGAAUGACUACAUACUUUUUAAUUACUGAGGGUUAUGGACAGUGCAGUCUCUAAGGAAUUUGGAAGCAAGGCUUUCAGGACCUUGAGGGGCUAGCUGCUGUUAAGAUAAGGUUACUUUUAGCCUGUAAUAAGACACAAACAUUAAGGCACUAAUGCAGCCAUGAAUUCCUCGAGGAAGGUCACCUUUGGCAUGUUUCAGGUGUCUGUCAGUGGGCAGCAAGCUGUAAGGAGAUUUUAAUUUAAGCCACAUUUCUCUUGCCUUUGUUUCCCUCAUCAGCAUAGGGUUAGUUUUUCUUGGUAGUUGUCUUAUUCAUUUAAAAUAUAAUUGUUUUUCAUUA